UGGCUGUGAUGAAAAAAAGGCCGGACUUACGGCUGCCACUAUUGAUUGGUAGCAGAUUGAAACAGUUGCCAUCAGUUGUUUGGUAGUAGAUUGAUGAAGUUUGAAAUAGGUAUUAUUUCUGAGCCAG
Small nucleolar RNA from Andrographis paniculata, 127 nucleotides. RefSeq annotates it as small nucleolar RNA snoR113. NCBI's taxonomy places the organism in Eukaryota, Viridiplantae, Streptophyta, Magnoliopsida, Lamiales, Acanthaceae. The record is from RefSeq and is a predicted model, not a curated record. The transcript has a single exon.